GGGUCAGUAGGUUGGUCGUGCCACCGGUACGUACUGGUCUCACUUAUUCCUCCUUCCUGAAGAACCGUAUUGCCAUUAAUUUGGUGUUGCGGGGAAACAGGACUGUUACUUUGAAAAAAUUAGAGUGUUUAAAGCAAGCUAACGCUUGAAUACAUUAGCAUGGAAUAAUGAAAUAGGACGAUCGAUCCUAUUUUGUUGGUUUCUAGGAUUGACGUA
This 216-nucleotide ribosomal RNA is filed under the name Glomeromycotina sp. RNAcentral's name for it is "partial small subunit ribosomal RNA". The stretch from base 40 to 216 matches the Rfam family "Eukaryotic small subunit ribosomal RNA", at positions 686 to 864 of the family's 1831-position model. The record is from RNAcentral. Lineage: Eukaryota; Fungi; Glomeromycota.